This 390-nucleotide ribosomal RNA is filed under the name Dicrateria sp. RNAcentral describes it as "partial small subunit ribosomal RNA". It matches the Rfam family "Eukaryotic small subunit ribosomal RNA", at positions 582 to 975 of the family's 1831-position model. The record is from RNAcentral. Lineage: Eukaryota; Haptophyta; Isochrysidales; Isochrysidaceae.
AUUCCAGCUCCAAUAGCGUAUAUUAAAGUUGUUGCAGUUAAAACGCUCGUAGUCGGAUUUCGGGGCGGCUUCGUCGGUCUGCCGUUGGGUAUGCACUGACGCGGGCGUCCUUCCUUCCGGAGACGCGUCCUACUCUUAGCUGAGCGGGGCGUGGAGACGGAUCGUUUACUUUGAAAAAAUCAGAGUGUUUCAAGCAGGCAUCAUCGCUCUUGCAUGGAUUAGCAUGGGAUAAUGAAAUAGGACCUUGGUGCUAUUUUGUUGGUUUCGAGCACCGAAGUAAUGAUUAACAGGGACAGUCAGGGGCACUCGUAUUCCGCCGAGAGAGGUGAAAUUCUCAGACCAGCGGAAGACGAACCACUGCGAAAGCAUUUGCCAGGGAUGUUUUCAUCA